AGUGAACGCUGGCGGUAGGCCUAACACAUGCAAGUCGAACGGCAGCACAGUAAGCGCUUGCUAUUACGGUUGGCGAGUGGCGGACGGGUAAGGAAUACAUCGGCAUCUACUUUUUCGUGGGGGAUAACGUAGGGAAACUUACGCUAACACCGCAUACGACCUACGGGUGAAAGCAAGUGUUCUUCGGACCUUUCCCUAUUGAAUGGACCGUUGUCGGAUUAGCUAGUUGGCAGGGUAAGGGCCCACCAAGGCAACGAUCCGUAGCUAGCCGGAGAGGUGGACCAGCAACACUGGAACGGAGACACGCUCAAACUGCCUACGGAAGGAACCAGUGGGAAAUAUUGGACAUUGGGGGAAGUCCUGACCCACCAAUCCCGCGUGGUGGAAGAAGGCCUUGGGGUGUAAAAGUCCGUUUGUAGGGAAAGAAAAGCAUGAGGGUAAAACCCCGAUGAUCUGACGGUACCUAAAGAAUAAGCAACGGCUAACUUCGUG
This 492-nucleotide ribosomal RNA is filed under the name uncultured bacterium. RNAcentral's name for it is "partial 16S ribosomal RNA". It matches the Rfam family "Bacterial small subunit ribosomal RNA", at positions 29 to 507 of the family's 1533-position model. The record is from RNAcentral.